AUUAGAGCAGUUCCACCGGAGGUGGAAUAGCCCAGCACCCAGUCAAAAAACCAGGCUGGCACCCUGUCAAUUCACUCCAUCCCGUGAAAUCGACUGGCACCCAGCCCAAGCCAGUCCACAGGCCGGCCUAAAAUCGACAGACCUUGGGACUGGCCUAUCUGACGUCAGCGUGGCGUCGAAGGAGAAUCCGAGCACCGAGACAACGAGCGGUGAAUCGCUCUGGAGCUCGUUCUGGAACUUGACCCAGAGCCGCCUUGGCCGAAUCGGUGCGUCGAAGAGAACGAGUCGGUCGCUCGGCGGAGGACGGAGUAGGAGUACCGGUGGGGGGGCUUGGAGUUGGAUUCCGGGGCAGUCCGUUUUUGGGUGAUUUUUCGAAAGCAGACCAGGAGGAAGAGGAGGAGAGAGAAGGCGGUGGUGGUGGAGGCAGCGGCGAUAGGGUGGGGGAAGCGGCUGCUGACACGGGGUUGAGGCUGAGGACUAGCUGCGGGCUAUGGCGAUGGGGAGUGAAGGAAUUGGCGCAUCGUGGGGAC
This 530-nucleotide long non-coding RNA is filed under the name Malus domestica (apple). Its description in RNAcentral is "long non-coding RNA (MDOM_LNC006089)". Lineage: Eukaryota; Viridiplantae; Streptophyta; Magnoliopsida; Rosales; Rosaceae. The record is from RNAcentral.